CAACCCCUCAAGCCCUGUUGCUUGGUGCUGGGAGCCUACAGCCCCGCUGUAGCUCCUCAAAGUUAGUGGCGGAGUCAGUACACACUCUAGGCGUAGUAAUUCUAUCUCGCCUCUGCGGUUGUGCUGUCCCCUGCCGUAAAACCCCAACUUUAUAG
This 155-nucleotide unclassified non-coding RNA is filed under the name uncultured Emarcea. RNAcentral's name for it is "sequence contains ITS2". Lineage: Eukaryota; Fungi; Ascomycota; Sordariomycetes; Xylariales; Xylariaceae. The record is from RNAcentral.